This 71-nucleotide transfer RNA is filed under the name Notolychnus valdiviae. RNAcentral describes it as "tRNA-Gln". It matches the Rfam family "tRNA". Rfam says of the family: Transfer RNA (tRNA) molecules are approximately 80 nucleotides in length. Their secondary structure includes four short double-helical elements and three loops (D, anti-codon, and T loops). Lineage: Eukaryota; Metazoa; Chordata; Actinopteri; Myctophiformes; Myctophidae. The record is from RNAcentral.
CAAAAGCUGGUAUAGUGGGAGUACAAAGAGUUUUGAUCUCUUAGGGAGGGGUUCAAGUCCCUUGCUUUUGA